CCUACGGGGCGCAGCAGUGAGGAAUAUUGGUCAAUGGGCGCAAGCCUGAACCAGCCAAGUCGCGUGAGGGAAGACGGCCCUACGGGUUGUAAACCUCUUUUGCCGGGGAGCAAGCCUGAGCACGUGUGCCCAGGCGGAGAGUACCCGGAGAAAAAGCAUCGGCUAACUCCGUGCCAGCAGCCGCGGUAAUACGGAGGAUGCGAGCGUUAUCCGGAUUGAUUGGGUUUAAAGGGUGCGCAGGCGGGCUGUUAAGCCGGCGGUAAAAAUUCAGGGCUCAACCCUGUCGAGCCGUCGGAAAUGGCAGCCUUGAGUGGGCGAGAAGUAUGCGGAAUGCGGGGUGUAGCGGUGAAAUGCAUAGAUAUCACGCAGAACGCCGAUUGCGAAGGCAGCAUACCGGCGCCCGACUGACGCUGAGGCACGAAAGCGUGGGGAUCGAACAGGAUUAGAUACCCGGGUAGUC
RNAcentral lists this ribosomal RNA (460 nucleotides) under uncultured bacterium. RNAcentral's name for it is "partial 16S ribosomal RNA". It matches the Rfam family "Bacterial small subunit ribosomal RNA", at positions 338 to 795 of the family's 1533-position model. The record is from RNAcentral.